RNAcentral lists this unclassified non-coding RNA (321 nucleotides) under Leptobacillium sp. RNAcentral describes it as "partial contains 5.8S ribosomal RNA, internal transcribed spacer 2, and large subunit ribosomal RNA". The stretch from base 1 to 71 matches the Rfam family "5.8S ribosomal RNA", at positions 84 to 154 of the family's 154-position model. The record is from RNAcentral. Lineage: Eukaryota; Fungi; Ascomycota; Sordariomycetes; Hypocreales; Cordycipitaceae.
GUGAGUCAUCGAAUCUUUGAACGCACAUUGCGCCCGCCAGCAUUCUGGCGGGCAUGCCUGUUCGAGCGUCAUUUCAACCCUCGAGCCCGACUUUUCGAAGGACGGCUCGGCGUUGGAGGACGGCAGACUCCCCCCGGCAUCUCGCCGGGGACGCCGCCUCCGAAAUUUAGUGGCGGCCCUCCGAGGCGACCUCUGCGUAGUAACUUGUUCUCGCACCGGAAAGCUCAGAGCGGCCACGCCGUAAAACCCCAACUUUUUUUAGGUUGACCUCGAAUCAGGUAGGACUACCCGCUGAACUUAAGCAUAUCAAUAAGCGGAGGA